Molecule: ribosomal RNA, 301 nt
Filed under: uncultured bacterium
Lineage: Bacteria
Description: partial 16S ribosomal RNA
Rfam family: Bacterial small subunit ribosomal RNA
Source: RNAcentral
CAGUCGCCACGGGAAUACGUAGGGCGCAAGCGUUGUCCGGAAUUAUUGGGCGUAAAGAGCUCGUAGGCGGUCUGUCGCGUCUGGUGUGAAAUCCCGAGGCUCAACCUCGGGCUUGCAUCGGGUACGGGCAGACUAGAGUGCGGUAGGGGAGACUGGAAUUCCUGGUGUAGCGGUGGAAUGCGCAGAUAUCAGGAGGAACACCGAUGGCGAAGGCAGGUCUCUGGGCCGCAACUGACGCUGAGGAGCGAAAGCAUGGGGAGCGAACAGGAUUAGAUACCCCUGUAGUCCCUGUCUCUUAUAA